RNAcentral lists this small nuclear RNA (325 nucleotides) under Ailuropoda melanoleuca (giant panda). RNAcentral's name for it is "7SK RNA". It matches the Rfam family "7SK RNA". From Rfam's summary of the family: 7SK was discovered as an abundant small nuclear RNA in the mid-70s but a possible function has only recently been suggested. Two independent studies have found that 7SK RNA binds the CDK9/cyclin T complex (known as elongation factor P-TEFb). The record is from Rfam by way of RNAcentral. Lineage: Eukaryota; Metazoa; Chordata; Mammalia; Carnivora; Ursidae.
AGGUGGGUGACCUGGCUAUGUCAUCUGCCGCCUACCUCACUGAUCCCCAGGGUUGACUCUCCAUCUGGAUGGCGAAGGCUGUCCCCUUCCUCCCUCGCUGCUCCAUGUGCGUCCCUCUGGAAGCUGCGUGCAGUCAAAAAGGAGGACCAUGCCUGAAAAAGGAGGACUAUUCUUCCGCCAAGGGUAUAGAAGGGGUUGCACCCCCCUGCUGGAACCUCCAAAGAAGUUCUCAAGGUCCAUUUGUAGGAGAACGUAGGGUAGUCACACUUCCAAGACUCCAGAAACAUCCACACGAGGCUCUGCAUGUGGCAGUCAACCUUCUGGA